RNAcentral lists this ribosomal RNA (492 nucleotides) under uncultured bacterium. Its description in RNAcentral is "partial 16S ribosomal RNA". It matches the Rfam family "Bacterial small subunit ribosomal RNA", at positions 29 to 507 of the family's 1533-position model. The record is from RNAcentral.
AGUGAACGCUGGCGGUAGGCCUAACACAUGCAAGUCGAACGGCAGGACAGUACGAGCUUGCUCUUACCGAUUGGCAAUGGCGUGCGGAAGAGGAAUGCAUCGGGCUCUACUCUUUCGUGUGGGUUCACGUAAGGGAGCCUACUCUAGUAUCGCAUACGACGUACGGGUGAAAGCGUGGGAUAGUCUCAGCUGGCGCGGUUGAAUGAGCCGAUGUUGAGUUAGCUGGUUGGCGGGGUAAAGGCCAAGUCAGUGGCGGAUCCGUAGCCGGUGUGAGAGGACGGUCGGCGACACUGGAACUGAGACACGGUCCAGACUACUAAGGGAGGCAGCAGUGGGGAAUAUUGGACAAUGGGCGCAAGCCUGAUCCAGCCAUACCGCGUGGGUGAAGAAGGCCUUCGGGUUGGAAAGCCGUUUUGUUGGGAAAGAACAGCAGUAGGUUAAUACCACGCGGGUCUGACGGUACCCAAAGAAUAAGCACCGGCUAACUUCGUG